CCUACGGGAGGCAGCAGUGAGGAAUAUUGGGCAAUGGAGGCAACUCUGACCCAGCCAUGCCGCGUGAGUGAAGAAGGUUCUCGGAUUGUAAAGCUCUUUCGGAUGUGACGAUGAUGACGGUAGCAUCUAAAGAAGCCCCGGCUAACUUCGUGCCAGCAGCGGCGGUAAUACGACGGGGGCAAGCGUUGUUCGGAAUUACUGGGCGUAAAGGGAGUGUAGGCGGUUUAGUAAGAUAGUGGUGAAAUCCCAGGGCUUAACUUUGGAAUUGCCAUUAUAACUAUUAGACUAGAAUUACAGAGAGGAUAGUGGAAUACCCAGUGUAGAGGUGAAAUUCGUAGAUAUUGGGUAGAACACCAGUGGCGAAGGCGGAUGACUGGACGGCAACUGACGGUGAGGCGCGAAAGCGUGGGGAGCAAACAGGAUUAGAUACCCGAGUAGUC
RNAcentral lists this ribosomal RNA (440 nucleotides) under uncultured bacterium. Its description in RNAcentral is "partial 16S ribosomal RNA". It matches the Rfam family "Bacterial small subunit ribosomal RNA", at positions 338 to 795 of the family's 1533-position model. The record is from RNAcentral.